AGAGUUUGAUCCUGGCUCAGGAUGAACGCUGGCGGCGUGCUUAAUACAUGCAAGUCGAACGAAGCAGCAAUGCUUAGUGGCGAUCGGGUGCGUAACACGUAGCGGACCUACCCUUCAGCGGGGAAUAACAGUUCGAAAGGACUGCUAAUACCGCAUACAUUUGAGAGAAUUAGAACAUCUCAAAGAAACUUACGGGGUUG
RNAcentral lists this ribosomal RNA (200 nucleotides) under uncultured bacterium. RNAcentral's name for it is "partial 16S ribosomal RNA". It matches the Rfam family "Bacterial small subunit ribosomal RNA", at positions 8 to 220 of the family's 1533-position model. The record is from RNAcentral.